GACAACAACCAAUCAUCAGCAGAACCUUUCCUCCGCAAACCCAGCAUGUAAAUAAAUAAUCUGCGCUGGUUAAUCCGGGAUGUGACUCCCUGAUCCUCUGCUUAUUAGAUCCGUUUUAUGAAUGGGAGAUUAUAAAUAAAGACUCGUUCAAUACCGGAACCAUGUGGAACCGGUUCCUUAAAACUGGAACCGGACCAGUCAGCCCCCCAAAUAGACGGACACAGACGCACAUCGCAUCUUCUUCUGGUCCUUUUUUUCCUGGUCCUUCUGUUUUCCUUCAGCUGCAGUUAGCUCCGUUAGCAUAAUGCUAACAUAGGCCUGAUUCUGUAUGAAGCUAGGUGAGCAUCGGCGAUGAGCUCACGUUAAGUACUUUAAAUUACUAAAAACUACUUAUAUCCGUACCAGAACCAUCCAAAGUUCGGUUCAAAGCCUCUCUGUGUUACUGAUCAUCACAGAGCACCGCUAGCUCCGCGGCUAGCUCCCCCUGCUAAAAGCUAACCGCAGCAUCACCGUCACACCUGCACAGUCCAAUAGGUGGCGGUAAUAGACCUCCACGCUGGUUGCCCACCGCUUGAAAACACCAACAGAGGAAGGAGGAGAAGAAGGAGAAGAAGAAGCGGGGCCAUUUGAAAACAAAAAUGGCGGAAGUUCGGAGAGUUCUGGAGCGCUGUGACCCGGUUCUGUUGGAGCCCUGCGGUGAACCCGAACCGGACUGCGCCGAGGCAGCAGGAACGGUUCUGUUCCUCACGGUCAGUACCUGGUCUCUGGUCCAAUCAUUCACGGAACACCCGAGGUCCGUGGUUCCAGAACCAAAUGUCCUUAAUCAGCAUUAUUAGAGUUGUGCUGUAAAAUUAUUCCGCCCGGAACAGAAUAAUUCAAACGUAUCAUUCAAGUCCAAUAAUAUAUUGAUAUUCAGAGGGAGAUGGAGAGUUUGUUUGUGUUGCCCAAUUUUGACCUUUUGUGUUAAAAUCUCUAACCUUGUGAGGACUGAUAAAUCGAGUU
This is a long non-coding RNA of Poecilia latipinna (sailfin molly), 1002 nucleotides long. RefSeq lists it as uncharacterized. NCBI's taxonomy places the organism in Eukaryota, Metazoa, Chordata, Actinopteri, Cyprinodontiformes, Poeciliidae. The transcript has 3 exons. The record is from RefSeq and is a predicted model, not a curated record.